CGCCUGGGGAGUACGGGUGAGGUAACGGCUCACCAAGGCAUCGACGGGUAGCUGGUCUGAGAGGAUGAUCAGCCACACUGGGACUGAGACACGGCCCAGACUCCUACGGGAGGCAGCAGUAGGGAAUAUUGCACAAUGGGCGAAAGCCUGAUGCAGCAACGCCGCGUGCGGGAAGAAGGCCCUAGGGUUGUAAACCGCUUUCAGCAGGGACGAAAAUGACGGUACCUGCAGAAGAAGCGCCGGCCAACUACGUGCCAGCAGCCGCGGUAAUACGUAGGGCGCAAGCGUUGUCCGGAUUUAUUGGGCGUAAAGGGCUCGUAGGCGGUUUGGUAAGUCGGGUGUGAAAAUUCAGGGCUCGACUCUGAGACGCCACUCGAUACUGCCAUGACUAGAGUCCGGUAGGGGAGUGCGGAAUUCCUGGUGUAGCGGUGAAAUGCGCAGAUAUCAGGAGGAACACCAACAGCGAAGGCAGCACUCUGGGCCGGUACUGACGCUGAGGAGCGAAAGCGUGGGGAGCGAACAGGAUUAGAUACCCUGGUAGUCCACGCCGUAAACGGUGGGUGCUAGCUGUGGGCCACAUUCCACGUGGUCCGUGACGAAGUUAACACAUUAAGCACCCCGCCUGGGGAGUACGG
Molecule: ribosomal RNA, 635 nt
Filed under: uncultured Actinomycetes bacterium
Lineage: Bacteria; Bacillati; Actinomycetota; Actinomycetes
Description: bacterial SSU rRNA
Rfam family: Bacterial small subunit ribosomal RNA
Source: RNAcentral